CCCCUCUCUUGUUGUGCUGGGAGGACACAGGCUGCUGCAGGUCAGUGUGAGUAAAAUACACAUUAUAUCAGAUAGAGAGCUCCCCCUGGGCUCCAGCAAUAAUCUCUGCAUGUUCCCAUUGAUCCUGGAAUUAGGGAUUCCUGCUCUCUGUGUGUGCAGACACUGGGGGGAAGGGAUUGGGCUCCAGCAAUAAUCUCUGCAUGUUCCCAUUGAUCCUGGAAUUAGGGAUUCCUGCUCUGUGUGUGCAGACACUGGGGAGGAAGGGAUUGGGCUCCAGCAAUAAUCUCUGCAUGUUCCCAUUGAUCCUGGAAUUAGGGAUUCCUGCUCUCUGUGUGUGCAGACACUGGAAGGUUGGG
This is a non-coding RNA of Pelobates cultripes (western spadefoot toad), 356 nucleotides long. Lineage: Eukaryota; Metazoa; Chordata; Amphibia; Anura; Pelobatidae. The record is from the annotation of a GenBank genome assembly.